GACGAACGCUGGCGGCGUGCUUAACACAUGCAAGUCGAACGGAAAGGCCCUGCUUUUGUGGGGUGCUCGAGUGGCGAACGGGUGAGUAACACGUGAGUAACCUGCCCUUGGCUUUGGGAUAACUUCAGGAAACUGGGGCUAAUACCGGAUAGGAGCUACUGCGGCAUGGGGGGGGUUGGAAAGUUUCGGCGGUUGGGGAUGGACUCGCGGCUUAUCAGCUUGUGGGUGGGGUAGUGGCUUACCAAGGCUUUGACGGGUAGCCGGCCUGAGAGGGUGAACGGCCACAUUGGGACUGAGAUACGGCCCAGCCUCCUACGGGAGGCAGCAGUGGGGAAUAUUGCACAAUGGGCGGAAGACUGAUGCAGCAACGCCGCGUGCGGGAUGACGGCCUUCGGGUUGUAAACCGCUUUCGCCUGUGACGAAGCGUGAGUGAAGGUAAUGGGUAAAGAAGCCCCGGCUAACUACGUG
RNAcentral lists this ribosomal RNA (468 nucleotides) under uncultured bacterium. Its description in RNAcentral is "partial 16S ribosomal RNA". It matches the Rfam family "Bacterial small subunit ribosomal RNA", at positions 28 to 507 of the family's 1533-position model. The record is from RNAcentral.